GAACGCUAGCGGCAGGCCUAACACAUGCAAGUCGAGGGGUAGAGGAAGCUUGCUUCCUUGAGACCGGCGCACGGGUGCGUAACGCGUAUGCAAUCUACCUUGUACAGGGGGAUAGCCCAGAGAAAUUUGGAUUAAUACCUCAUAGUAUAUUGAAAUGGCAUCAUUUUAAUAUUAAAGUUCCAACGGUACAAGAUGAGCAUGCGUCCCAUUAGUUAGUUGGUAAGGUAACGGCUUACCAAGACAAUGAUGGGUAGGGGUCCUGAGAGGGAGAUCCCCCACACUGGUACUGAGACACGGACCAGACUCCUACGGGAGGCAGCAGUGAGGAAUAUUGGACAAUGGGCGCAAGCCUGAUCCAGCCAUGCCGCGUGCAGGAAGACGGCCCUAUGGGUUGUAAACUGCUUUUAUACAGGAAGAAACACCGCUACGUGUAGCGGCUUGACGGUACUGUAGGAAUAAGGAUCGGCUAACUCCGUGCC
RNAcentral lists this ribosomal RNA (479 nucleotides) under Cytophaga sp. BAL50. RNAcentral's name for it is "bacterial SSU rRNA". It matches the Rfam family "Bacterial small subunit ribosomal RNA", at positions 31 to 509 of the family's 1533-position model. Lineage: Bacteria; Pseudomonadati; Bacteroidota; Cytophagia; Cytophagales; Cytophagaceae. The record is from RNAcentral.